Non-coding RNA from Microcebus murinus (gray mouse lemur), 1505 nucleotides. NCBI's taxonomy places the organism in Eukaryota, Metazoa, Chordata, Mammalia, Primates, Cheirogaleidae. The record is from RefSeq and is a predicted model, not a curated record.
ACCUCCAACUCUCUUUUUCCACUCAUGUCACGCAGCAUCAAGGUCUCUCAUCUAGUUGGUGUCCAAAUUUAACAGCAUUACCUACAACAUAACUUGAACAAAAAAGAGAUCAAAACUGAAUUUUUGAUGAAUAUGAAAUUCAUAUCUCAAGAACUCUGCCCCUAAAGGAACAUAUUCUUUUUCUCAGUUCUAAUUGCUCAUUAAAAAGAGAAAAGGCUGAAGAUGAACCCAACUAUCUGAAAAAAGUCAACAGAAAACCCUAGGAAUGAGCAAUACUCAGAUACACAAGUUUUCUAAUAUUAUGUCAUUUCAAAAUCAAAGAGUCAAGAAUUCAUAUGUCUAGAAGACUAGGUGAGGAAGCCUGCAUCUUCCUUCUCUCUUGAAAUAGAACAGUGGUGUUACAUCUGGACAUUCAUAUCACUGCGCUCCAUGCUCAAAAAUGACUGAAGAUGGCUUGUUCCCUAUUCUGUUUCAUACCAUCAGCAGGGCAGGUGAGUAAUCUGACACAGGAUGUAAAAGCAUCGCUUCUACCAAUAAACAGCUGUGUUAGAUCUCAACUAAUAUAGCUUUGUGCCUUGGGCAAAUCCCUUAAUAGCUCUAAGCCUGAGGGUUUUUUUAAUCUGUAAAAGAAAUGGCUUUGAUAGAGAACCUCUACAGCUCCUUUAAAUAUGAUUAUUCUAGCUCUAUAAUUAUCCCUGUGUUACUCACUACACAUAACAUAACAUACAAACAGCAUGCAACAACAAGUCCUUACUUCAUUUCCUGACAUCCUCCUCCACCUACUCUGUCAUCACAAUGCCAGUGGUGACAACAAAUUGGGCAAGAUUCCAGACUCCAACGUAUAGCUCUCAAAGCCAGAUUCAGUGAAAAUUGUGAGUGUGCAUUUAGUGGGUCAAAAGGAAAUAUUCUAAUACUGUGCCUUUUACCCAUGGAAGAAACAUUUCUUCUAAAGGUUAAAUUCUCAGAUCCAGGGGAUCACUCACACACGCUGAGAGCCUUCCAGCCAGAGCCCAACAGGGAACACCACUUGCAGCAUCAUCUCUCCAACUGGAGCACAUGGCUCAGCAACACAGCUUGCCUCUCUGCACAGCCAACUUCGAGGGCCACAAAGAAAUGUCUACGAUGACAAGAGAAGAUGCUUCAGGGGUGCAUCAGAAUGUGGAGCCAGCCACCGCCCCUUCCUCCAUAGAGGGGCUGUAAGUCAAUUUUCUCUUUUCUGUGAGACAGAAAAAGGACGCGGGCACCCCAAUGUCUCCCACUCCAAGGGCCUAAGCGGCGCACCUCUCAACCUUUCCUUCCAAGGGCUGAAAGAUGGUUCCUCUCCUCCUCUCCACUCGGCCCAAUCACCCUCUCUUACUUAGUCCCUCUCCAGCCUCUUCCCUCUACCCUUCUCCCUGCUCGACCUCCUUUUCCCGGUCCCCCGCCUCUCUUUUCUCCCCGCUUGGCCCCUUUUUCUUCAGUCCGCAGCUGCCGCCGAUCCCGCGGUACCUUGAGCGUCACGUCGC